This 1250-nucleotide long non-coding RNA is filed under the name Setaria viridis. Its description in RNAcentral is "long non-coding RNA (SVIR_LNC004168)". Lineage: Eukaryota; Viridiplantae; Streptophyta; Magnoliopsida; Poales; Poaceae. The record is from RNAcentral.
GGGGAUUGAGAGAUAUAGUACAAAGGGCAGAUUAGAUCUAAAUCAUCCAAAUAAGACGAUGAUAUAAAAUGCCGUAGGAAUAGAGUUGGAGGUUGCCAUUGGGAUUGACUUUAGAGCUUUGAUGCUCGUGGUGGAAUGCUGAAGAUGGUAGCUACUGCAAAUUUUUGGUUUCGAUUCGUGAUAGCGGAGAGCUUGGUUGGUUUGGAGGGGAAGAUGAAGGAAUAGGGCUGUUAUAUAAUCGUAUUCUGGUGUGGUGAAUCCCAAAAAUUGAGGACGGUGCUAUCACAAGACUCGGGGAAAGAGGUCAUGAUUGCAGCAAUGACUCUUUUUGCUUUGGAAGGAUAUCAACUCGGAGCCUGUGAAGGUGCUGACAAGAGAAGAGAAUUUUAGAACAUAAUAUUAUAUUCAAAAAUUGGGGGGGCAUGUGUUGAAACCGGUUUUUAACUAGAGUCAACCAGUGAAGAUAAGGUUCUGACAACAGAUGAAAGAAAGAGAAAGAGUCUAUUGACACCUGGUGUUGACCAAGUCUAGCAGUGGAAGACCAGGUCCUAGAAGCCGAUAGAAGACCAGGGGAAUCCGAUCCGAGACAAAAUCGACUCCACCAAAUAAGGGAAAGCGCGGAGAUUUAUCUUUAAUACUAUCAAAUUCGUUUGUAAUAGUUCAUGUCGUAAUCGACUAGGGUUUUAGCAUGCUCUAGCGUAUAAAUAUAAACCCAUGAGCCUUAUAAAGACUAAUCAUCAAUCAAUCAAUCAACACAAACCUUUCAGCGCCACACCACUAAAAUCCUAUAAGUAGGAGCAUAGUAGAUUCAACGAGUUCCUUCCGGCGCGCACAGUUGCAUCAGCUUCGAUCUCAAGCGAGCUUGUAAGUACCGUCACCUAGUCAUCACGUGCUCUAUCAGAACUUUCUAAGUUAAGUCUUAUAUUCUGAUAUUCGUGCGUGUAUCUAGUUAUCAAGUUAUCUUAGAUUGCAAGUAGAACUUUCUAGGUUUUAUCCAAUAUUUUGUUUGUCUUCGAUGUUUCUCACAGUUAUCGAGUUGUUUGGUUUUAUUAAGUUGCAUCGUAUUGAUCUCUUAGUUUUAUCAAGCGCUCAGAGUUAUCGAACGACUUAGAUCUGAUUAAGUUUUCUUUAUCGGCUCCUUGAUCUUGUUUAAGCGUUCAUCAGUUAUCUGAUCGUAUUGGUGUUGACGGCAGUUAGCCUGCCAAUUUAUGAACUGCAAGUGUACAAAUCAGUUGUAGCUCUUCCCUUAG